RNAcentral lists this ribosomal RNA (425 nucleotides) under uncultured bacterium. RNAcentral's name for it is "partial 16S ribosomal RNA". It matches the Rfam family "Bacterial small subunit ribosomal RNA", at positions 354 to 796 of the family's 1533-position model. The record is from RNAcentral.
GUGGGGAAUCUUGCGCAAUGGGCGAAAGCCUGACGCAGCCAUGCCGCGUGAAUGAUGAAGGUCUUAGGAUUGUGAAAUUCUUUCACCGGGGACGAUAAUGACGGCACCCGGAGAAGAAGCCCCGGCUAACUUCGUGCAAGCAGCCGCGGUAAUACGAAGGGGGCUAGCGUUGCUCGGAAUUACUGGGCGUUAAGGGCGCGUAGGCGGACAGUUUAGUCAGAGGUGAAAGCCCAGGGCUCAACCGUGGAAUUGCCUUUGAUACUGGCUGUCUUGAGUACGGGAGAGGUGAGUGGAACUCCGAGUGUAGAGGUGAAAUUCGUAGAUAUUCGGAAGAACACCAGUGGCGAAGGCGACUCACUGGCCCGUUACUGACGCUGAGGCGCGAAAGCGUAGGGAGCAAACAGGAUUAGAUACCCCUGUAGUCC